CUUUGCUCUCCUCACUGGGUUCUGUCUGUCCGCUGUCCUUCUGUCCCGAGACGCCUUUUUUCUUCCCGACCAUCUCCCAGGAAUGCUGGAGGUUUGUAAAAGGGAAAGCAGUUAAGCUGAGUCUCAGAACAACCAAGUUAACGUUCCAGAACGCUCCGCGGUCAUUGUUUCAGGGUGGGGUGCUCUCUCAAAACCCAAACCCCCCUCCCCAACCAUGGGACGACAAGGAGAAGAUCAGAAUUUGUCCACAGGUCUGGGGACGUUAGGUUUUCUUCUACCGAGCAUUCUAGAUUAAAGAGCCACCCGGAAAAUGGAAAGAACUCAACGCCAACGUGGGAUAACAGCAAGGAGGCUGCGGAAGUGCUGGAGCUCAGUGAGGAUCAGCAGCCUGCCACUGCACAUGGGGGGGAAGAAUCCAACACCAACAGCCAGCACAGUGGCAGCAGUGGAUGGCAGCGCCCUGCUGGGGGGGCUGCCCACCACAGGGACCCUCAGCAGCUGUCAGGUUCACCCUUUGGGGCGCCUCGUGGCAACUUAAGGAGAGUUCUGUGCUUAUAGAGCUCCGGCUUCACCAACACUGCGCCACCUCCGAGCAGCAGAGCUGUUGCAGAACCACAGUCUGAGGGCACCGCACGGCAGCCACGCAGCGCUCCCUCCCCAUAGGGCUCAUCUCCACUCCCCAACGCUCCGUCUCUUCCCAUCCUAAAGAUCUCACACGCAACCAAAUCGUCGCAUCCGACCAAUCCAGCAGCACUGCGGCCCCGGGGAAGCGAUGCUGUGUGUUUGCAGUCACUUCACCUGCAGUUCCAACAGGGCACGGCUCUGGCAGUGCUCUGCCCCCAACCUUUCUGCAGGAGUUGGGUAUAGUUUGGCAGCUCUGCUCGGCCCCGCUGCGUUUUGGGGACCCUUCAAUCAUUAUGUGCACAAAGAAAGCCACCAAAGAAGUAAUUCUACCAGAAGCACCGUCCUGCAGAGACCGUCAGCUGAGCACACAUCAGCUCCGCUCCAACUCCACUCCUCCACCUGUAACUUCAGCACAGCUCAGGGGCAACAUUUCAAUGCAAACCUUCCCUAUCCCGGCACCCAAACCGUCCCCACGCGUGUAACGAUGCGCUUCACAACGGGUUCGGGGUGGAUUUCUCAACCCUUUCAUCUCCUUUUGUUUUGCUUUAAGAAGGAAAACAAAACCA
Gallus gallus (chicken) is the source of this 1190-nucleotide long non-coding RNA. RefSeq lists it as uncharacterized. The transcript has 2 exons. NCBI's taxonomy places the organism in Eukaryota, Metazoa, Chordata, Aves, Galliformes, Phasianidae. The record is from RefSeq and is a predicted model, not a curated record.